CUAUGGACCGCUGGAAAAGCGGAGAGACUGGCUGUUCCGGGGGCCUCAGGUAGCUACAUCUACACACCACUUGCAGUACAAAAUUCCAAACAGCAACUCACCUACUGCGGAGGCGGAUUGGCUGCGCUGGGGACACCUGCCGGCGUGCUUAUAGAAAAGAGUGAUUGGGAAGGCGAGGCCGAGGGAGUGCGCCAACCUUACCCAGGCACAGCGCUCCUCCUUGACGCCGCGAGCAUGACCCUGUCUCACUGGGCCCGCUGCCCACGGCGGUCCUUGCCUGCUUCUAUUCUCCCGGUUUGCCCAGUCCGGAGUAAUGGAAAGCGAAAGCGUCCUACUUUCCGGUAGGUUGGGCUGGGCAGGGCUGGAGAGGGAGCGGGAAAGCGCAACUCAGGAGUGGGAGGAGCUGGGACGCUGGCGGCAGAGCCACUGUGUCAGCUUGAGUCUCGCGCUAGAGAAGCGGAGGUGGAAGUCGGGGCGCAGGAAUGUGGCUGUCCCCUUCUAUAAAUCACGGCUGGGGAGGAGGCGCGGAGGCACCAGGCUGUUUUCUGCAGCGCGCCAUCUCCUGUGCACACAGGAGGCCCUGAGGCUAGCUCGGUGGGUGGGGAGAUUCAGGCACUUCCCAGGGGUCCCCGGCAUGCCCAGCAGGUGGGAUAGGCCCUGCGACUAGGUCAAUCACGAAGAAGCCAUGGAGGCAGGAAGAGUAAACGCCCUUGUCAUAAAUCGAUUCUUCAAAACGUUCAAUAUGUGCAGACUUUUAUGGUAUGAUGAAGAUGAUAUGCGCUCUAGGAAUUUGCGUCUCAAAGCUGAAGAUCAAAGAAGAUUGGAGAGGUUUUGCAAGGCAGCCUGGUGUUUAAAGACCUGUGUUCUGAAUAGCUGGAUAUUGGAGAAGGGGAUCAGGGUCACAAAGGGGACAACUUUUAUGCAAUUGAUAGAGGAGUAUAUGAUUUAUAUAAACUAAUAUGUUUGAAAGGUUUGUUAGUAACUACAAAACACAUGGGAAUUGGCCUUAAAUGCCUGUACAGUACACCAAAAGAAGCUAAAAUUACUGCUUCAUCUUCUGUGGGUUCUCUGGGUUUUGGAUAGAGUAACCUUAAAAAAUAUUUGAAUGCAGACUUUUUCUAUGAGACCCACUUUUGGAAUCUUGUGCAUUCUACAUUCAGAAAGGGUAAUCUCAGCUAGUACCCAGUAUCCAAACAGUAGCAGCAAUAGUUCUACCCCAGAGACAAUUUUCUCUCUCUCCUUCCUUCCUUCCUACCUUCCUUCCUUCCUUUCCUUCUUUUUCUUUCUUUCUCUUUCCUUCUUUCUUUCUUUUCUUCUCUCCUUCCUUUUCUUUUCUCCUUCCAUCUUUUUUUGUCUUUCUCUCUCUCUUUUCUCCCUCCCCCCUCCCUUCUUCCUUCUUUCUUUUUUGCCUCUUUUACAUUUCAAUUUGUAAGGAAAUAGUGACUAAAGGCCGAUAGGCUUAACAGUCUAAAACACGGGUGUUAAGAAUUGAAUAUACUAAAAAAAAAAAAAAAAAAAAAAAAAUUGAAUACACUGAUAAAAUUUGUUUC
Molecule: long non-coding RNA, 1550 nt
Organism: Sapajus apella (tufted capuchin)
Lineage: Eukaryota; Metazoa; Chordata; Mammalia; Primates; Cebidae
Exons: 2
Source: RefSeq, a predicted model, not a curated record